AUUAUACAGCCAUGCACAAUUUGCAAAAUAAUAUUCAUAAAAUUCUAGACAAAAAAUGUGACAUAGUACAAAAAAUCUCAUCAUUUUUGGAUCAUUAUUUUAAUUGUUAUUAAUUUAUGAAUUGAGAAAAAAAUAAAAAAAUGCAUGAACAAUGUACAUGAACACAUGUGGAGAAAAAAAAGAAAUCAAAGAAGUAAUUAACCAAAACUGCACCGGCCGGAUUCGAACCAUGUAGGUUUUUGAAAACAAAGUGGCGCGCGCUGCAUGGCAAUUCCAUGCAGCCAAUCACGUUUAACCCUAGCCAAAACAUAAGGCAACGCUAUUCACAUGAAAAAACCGUGGCCAAAU
Molecule: long non-coding RNA, 348 nt
Filed under: Lathyrus oleraceus (garden pea)
Lineage: Eukaryota; Viridiplantae; Streptophyta; Magnoliopsida; Fabales; Fabaceae
Description: Pisum sativum (pea) long non-coding RNA (PSAT_LNC030083)
Source: RNAcentral